AAAUCAGAAAACGUACAAAAAAUUUUUUCCAUAUUAUUCUUAUGGAAAAUAGAAAAAAUUGAUGAGGAACCUCUUAAUGUUAAUAUUAAGAGCUCUAAUUUUCACAGGCAUCUUUUUUUAUCUCAAUAAAACUUUUGAACCUGUUUCCGCCAAAAAAAAAAAAAUUUGUUAUUUUUUAGAUCACCCUAAUAUACAUAAAUCAAAUAAGUGUAUCAUUUUUUUCGAUGCAACUUUACUAUGUCAGUUAUCGUGGUUCGAAGACAAGCUCGCUGACCACUUGAUCACGAGCACCGCUUAUGUAAUAUGUUCAUGUCAGUUAUCUUAUGUAAAUAAAUGGAAUUUUUUUUCGAUGAUGAUCAAGUUCACAUACGAGAAAAGUCGAGUGAUAUAAAUUACAUCUCAACUCAACGAUAUCAUUAGUCAAGAGUAGUAAUUUUUUCGCUGCUCAUUGUUCUAUUUGUUGCCAAAUAAAAAUGUCCAAGUUAAUUAUUUUCAUGUGUUUGGUUGCAUUGUUUGCUGUCGGAGCAAACGCUUGUGUAGGUCAUGGAGCGGACUGCACAACCGAGUUUUGCUGCUCUGGAUAUGUUUGUAGGAAAAAUUACUUUAAUUAUCUAACAUGUUCGGAUGUCAGUCCUGAAGUGGGUUACGAACGAACAUAAUAAAUUAACUUGUCUGUAUCAUUAUUGAAGUCAUUAUAAUUAAUAAUGUAUUUAAUGAUCUAUUGAUUACUUAACAUAAUAAACAAUUCAGUUUGA
Molecule: long non-coding RNA, 755 nt
Organism: Microplitis mediator
Lineage: Eukaryota; Metazoa; Arthropoda; Insecta; Hymenoptera; Braconidae
Exons: 4
Source: RefSeq, a predicted model, not a curated record